Molecule: ribosomal RNA, 253 nt
Filed under: uncultured bacterium
Lineage: Bacteria
Description: partial 16S ribosomal RNA
Rfam family: Bacterial small subunit ribosomal RNA
Source: RNAcentral
UACGAAGGGGGCUAGCGUUGCUCGGAAUCACUGGGCGUAAAGGGUGCGUAGGCGGGUCUUUAAGUCAGGGGUGAAAUCCUGGAGCUCAACUCCAGAACUGCCUUUGAUACUGAGGAUCUUGAGUUCGGGAGAGGUGAGUGGAACUGCGAGUGUAGAGGUGAAAUGCGUAGAUAUUGGGAGGAACACCAGUGGCGAAGGCGGCUCACUGGACCGGUACUGACGCUGAGGUGCGAAAGCGUGGGGAGCAAACAGG